RNAcentral lists this ribosomal RNA (505 nucleotides) under Veillonella parvula. RNAcentral's name for it is "bacterial SSU rRNA". It matches the Rfam family "Bacterial small subunit ribosomal RNA", at positions 28 to 503 of the family's 1533-position model. Lineage: Bacteria; Bacillati; Bacillota; Negativicutes; Veillonellales; Veillonellaceae. The record is from RNAcentral.
GACGAACGCUGGCGGCGUGCUUAACACAUGCAAGUCGAACGAAGAGCGAUGGAAGCUUGCUUCUAUCAAUCUUAGUGGCGAACGGGUGAGUAACGCGUAAUCAACCUGCCCUUCAGAGGGGGACAACAGUUGGAAACGACUGCUAAUACCGCAUACGAUCUAAUCUCGGCAUCGAGGAUAGAUGAAAGGUGGCCUCUACAUGUAAGCUAUCACUGAAGGAGGGGAUUGCGUCUGAUUAGCUAGUUGGAGGGGUAACGGCCCACCAAGGCGAUGAUCAGUAGCCGGUCUGAGAGGAUGAACGGCCACAUUGGGACUGAGACACGGCCCAGACUCCUACGGGAGGCAGCAGUGGGGAAUCUUCCGCAAUGGACGAAAGUCUGACGGAGCAACGCCGCGUGAGUGAUGACGGCCUUCGGGUUGUAAAGCUCUGUUAAUCGGGACGAAAGGCCUUCUUGCGAAUAGUAGAAGGAUUGACGGUACCGGAAUAGAAAGCCACGGCUAAUAC